This 380-nucleotide ribosomal RNA is filed under the name uncultured eukaryote. RNAcentral's name for it is "partial 18S ribosomal RNA". It matches the Rfam family "Eukaryotic small subunit ribosomal RNA", at positions 592 to 976 of the family's 1831-position model. The record is from RNAcentral.
CAAUAGCGUAUAUUAAAGUUGUUGCGGUUAAAAAGCUCGUAGUUGGAUUUCUGCUGAGAACGACCGGUCCGCCCUUUGGGUGUGUAUCUGGCUCUUUCUUGGCAUCUUCUUGGUGAACGUUGCUGCACUUGACUGUGUGGAGCGCUACCCAGGACUUUUACUUUGAGGAAAUUAGAGUGUUUCAAGCAGGCAUACGCCUUGAAUACAUUAGCAUGGAAUAAUAAGAUAGGACCUCGGUUCUAUUUUGUUGGUUUCUAGAGCUGAGGUAAUGAUUAAUAGGGAUAGUUGGGGGCAUUCGUAUUUAACUGUCAGAGGUGAAAUUCUUGGAUUUGUUAAAGACGAACUACUGCGAAAGCAUUUGCCAAGGAUGUUUUCAUUGA